GUCGUGCGAUGAUGCCGUGCGAAAUCUUGCCGCCGCCGAAAAGUGCGUAACAGCACUACCUACAUUUUCGUUUUUAUGGCAUUGUAAAUUUGCAUUUGAUUAAGUUGGUUCACCACUUUUGGCAGGCAAAAUGGACGCAGACGCGGAACACAGUGCUUUACCACACAGCAUCAAGCACGCUACAAGGCGAAAGAUCAAUAUGCUUAAACUUGCUGUCAUAUACUUAAGAACAUUGCUGGCAGGUAGAGCCAGCGACGGAUAGAUUUCCCUUUUGGCCGUACGACUUGAGGGCCUUGUUCAUUGGCCUUCUUCCCUAUAGAGACUGUACGGCAUCAUUGGCCUUCUUCCCUAUAGGGAAUGUACGGCAUCAUUGGCCUUCUUCCCUAUAGAGACUGUAGGGCAUCAUUGGCCUUCUUCCCUAUAGAGACUGUACGGCAGUAUCAUUUUUUACCUAAGAGGUUACCUUUUUAGAGUUAGAAAUAAAGGAAGAAUCAUUUUUUACCUAAGAGUUACAGCUUUUCAAAAAGAACUAACAGCAACUACUACUAUUAUAAAUUUUUGGCCGAUCAUUGGCGAGCGCAAUAAUGAGCGGUAGCAACGACACCACCGCGCUGAUCUUUCCCUGCCAUGAGGACGAUUCACUGCAAGCGGCCACAUACACAUCCUGAACCGCAUCAGCGUGACAUGUUGCUUCGGCGAAAUAUAUCCAGUGCAGUGCUUAGGCAACCCCAUCCACUGCUUGUACCGGCACAUUUUCACCCCUGGUUGUUUGUCGUCGGAAACAAAUGUCCUAGGAUCCAUUUCUAGUCGCUCACUCUCCCAAUCGUCAUCAAAUCGACUGCGUAACUCCUGCAUCAACUGGCCUAUAACUGGCCUAUAUGCAGUUCAAGGAGCUCUGGCAGCAAACACGCAACGGCAUAAACCGAUGCAACAUACUCGGUUGCUCGACCUAGAACGGCGAAAGAAUCCAAUAUCAUUUGCAGCGCUGAGCGCGACUGUCCUUGUUCUUGGGUUGCUACUAUUAUUGAUGAUAAUAUCCNNNNNNNNNNNNNNNNNNNNNNNNNNNNNNNNNNNNNNNNNNNNNNNNNNCGACGGACUCGUCCGCCUGCUUAACGGGACACUCGCGAACGUAGUGACCAGGCUGUCCGCAGUAGUGGCAGGUGUCGCCGGCCCCCACGGCGCCUGCAGCACCGGCGGCGCUGCCGAUUCCACUGGCAGCACGGCCAGGGCCGACAGCUCCCACCAGGCUUGUCUUGCUUGCUUAGGUCUUAGGGUUGUUCUCCUUCUCACGCAGCAUGAGCACGAGCUGUGGGGUCGUUAAGUUGGGCUGAUACAUCGUCAACUCGACGGUGAUGAUGCACUGCGGAGGCAGGCCACGGAGAAUGGCGUGGUGCAUCGUGCUCUCGUCCCACUGGCCGCCGGCCACGAUUAUAUUGCUACGGAGCUGCUCUGCCUGCUGAACGAAGUCAGUGGUCGUCUUCCCAUCGCGCAUGCUCAGCUGUUUCUGCGGCUCCAACAGGCUCAGCCGGGCCUGGGAUGCAGAACGCAAUUGUUGCUGUAAGAGCUGCAUGGCGGCGAGAAUGGUCUGGCAAUUCCUGAGCAACUGCUUGAUGGGCAGUUCACAGGACAGAUGCAGGUAGCCGAGCGCCUGUGCGUCCUCCUCCAGGGCGUCUUGGGCGUUGCGGCCCGGAGGCGACGGGUGUUGAUGUAGUCUUCAACUUGGAUGUUGCAAAGAAAUCGCCUAAGUCGCCGAGCCACUGGGAGUAGUUCGACCCAUCCGAGAGGAGGACACCCUUACAUCCCUUCCCCAUGAUGGUUGCCUAGCGCGCAUGACUGAUCAAGCCGCGUUCCCCGCCACCUUUCUGGCAACUAGUUGAUGGUAUGAUGCAUCGUUGUUGCGGCGUACGAUGGCUCCUGAUGCGAUUUAUGCCCUUUCAGCCUCCCAGGCAUGUCCCCACAACUGCCUCACAGCCACCGACACAUCUCACGGCGGGGGGUUAAUUGCGUGUUGGAUGCUCCUUUCCCCGCCGCCUUCCUAACAACUAGUUAAUGUUAUGUUGGAUGCUCCAUUCCCCAGCAGCCUUCCCCGUCACAUUUCGGCAAAUAGUUGAUGGCGUCAUACAUCGUUGGCACGGUGUAAGACAGUGCCUGAUGCGAUUUAUGCGUCCGGAAGCCCUUUCAGCCUCCCAGGCAUGUCCCCGCAACUGCCUCACAGCCAGCGGGGGUCUAAUUGCGUGCGCGUUCGCAUGUGGCAUAUGUCCCGCCACCUUUCUGGCAUCUAUUGAUGGUAUGAUGAAUCGUUGUGCGAUGUAAGGCUGCGCCUGAUGCGAUCUCGUUUGCGGAAGGGCCCCCUGAGUGCUGCCAAGCAUGUUAUUCUCUCAUGAGACUGCGUGAAGGUUACCGAACUGAGUAUGCGACCAACACAUAAAACAUCGCAUGUGAAUUGUUAUGUCAUGCGAUUAAUCAAAGUAAAUCGCGUGUGUUUGGUGUGUGUUUGGUGUGUUAGGCCGCAGUAAACUUGACGCAACGAGCCUUCAUACGCUUGAAACGCAACAUUUGUCUGCAUGCGAAUCGCGUUGCGACAUGUGUGCGUUUGGUGUGUGUUAGGCCGCGUUAAGCUUUACGCAAUCAGCCUUCAUACACAUGAAACGCAACAUGUAUUCGCAUGCGAAUAGCCUUGCGGACUGUAUGCGUUUGAUGUGCGAUUGGACGCGUAUUGCUUUACGCAUUGUCUCCCCACACGCACGAAUCGCAAUAUGGAAUCGCAUGCGUAUCGCCUUGCUACACAUGCGCGUAUGCUUCGCGUUUCAACAUACGCACGCAUGAAUUGCUCAAGUCGACCAAAACGACGCAAGUUUAUUUCCAAAUGAACAUUUACAAUCUGAAAAUUAUAAAAUUUAAAAGUUUUAGCAAGGAGGGCCGAUUUCCGCAUUUUCAUAGCCGUCGUGCGUUAGCUCUUUGCGUUACAAAAACAUGCUCAUUCGCACCUAACGCUAAGAUUCGCACCGUUACGCGAACUAACGCGAUCUAACGCGGACUUAACGCAGUCACCCGUCGUCAUAGUGUGUCGUGGUCAUGGCGAGCAUGACCACAAUGCUGAACGUCAGCGAUUGUACCGACAGUGACAACAUUUACUAGCUUCAUAUUCACUAGCAGUCCAAGGCUUUAAUGAAGGUAUUGACUCAAGGAUCAGUCUAUCACAACGAUAACGGCGAAGGAAAGGAAGCCAAACUAAUCUUACAAUUUGUUAAAAGAAGAAGUCAUAUGUAAUACAAAGUAUUUGCUAUUUAUGUACUGGGCUAAAUACUGGCUGAACAGCGACGCAGAUCGGUCGUGCGAUGAUGCCGUGCGAAAUCUUGCCGCCGCCGAAAAGUGCGUAACAGCACUACCUACAUUUUCGUUUUUAUGGCAUUGUAAAUUUGCAUUUGAUUAAGUUGGUUCACCACUUUUGGCAGGCAAAAUGGACGCAGACGCGGAACACAGUGCUUUACCACACAGCAUCAAGCACGCUACAAGGCGAAAGAUCAAUAUGCUUAAACUUGCUGUCAUAUACUUAAG
Molecule: long non-coding RNA, 3558 nt
Filed under: Volvox carteri
Lineage: Eukaryota; Viridiplantae; Chlorophyta; Chlorophyceae; Chlamydomonadales; Volvocaceae
Description: long non-coding RNA (VCAR_LNC000340)
Source: RNAcentral